This 1629-nucleotide ribosomal RNA is filed under the name Triticum aestivum (bread wheat). RNAcentral describes it as "partial small subunit ribosomal RNA". The record is from RNAcentral. Lineage: Eukaryota; Viridiplantae; Streptophyta; Magnoliopsida; Poales; Poaceae.
AUGGAUCCUUCCUUGAAGGAUUAUCUGGACAAACUCCACGCGGAGACUAAGGCGCAGACGAACGACAUCAUCAGGCUGCUCCACGAACAGGAGGCCUUCUUCUGCAAGUUCCAGUCCACUUCCAAGUCAGCGCGCUCCACGGCCGCGCCCUCUAAUGGCGACCUCUCCAUCGACACCACCAUCCAUGAGGCCUUCCCCGACACCUUCUCCGCCACCACCCAUGCCCAGGAGCCCCCCGCGGUCGCCCGUGAUGCAGCCCCGAUCUGCAUCGCGACGGCGCCCGUCACCUGUUCGACGGAGUGCUCGACCCAAGUUGAUGCCAUCGUCAGGGUCGACGAGGCCCAUGAAGCCGCCACCACCGUCCGCCUCGAGCCCGUGGUCAACCUCAUCCACCAAGAGGUCGAGCAGCUCGCACCUGUGCAGGCAACAACCUCCAUCCGCACCGCCACUCCCUCUACUGUCGAGGUCGUUCCUCCCAUGGCGGCCAUCACCGGUGUCGACCCCAAGGUCAGCUUGCAGGAGCAGGAUGACUCACCACUGCCCUCCAUCAACACCUCGACCCCAGCAGCGAGUGAGAUGGACCACAUCAUGGUCUUUAUCGUCUCCAGCAGCCUUACUGCACUGGCGUCGACCAAGUGCUCGACUGAAUACCCCGUCCACGUUGGCAACUUGGUGAAGCCCCUGUUCGCGCUGAGUAUGCUCUAUGCAACCUAUGCACCAUCCAACUUAACUCACCUUGAUCAUCCAGAACCCCUGCGGCACCUGUCACUGAUUGCACAAGCAGAAUAUGGCACUCACCUUAUGGACAAGAGCAAAAAUUGGGGCCUGCCACCAGUGUGGCAGGGGAUCGAGCAACCAUGGCCGCCACCUUUGCGAGUGUGUAUCGGAUAUAUGGGACACCUAUUCAGGCCAAGGCCGUGGCCGUCGCUCAGAUAUCAUUCAGAUGCAUGCUAUCCUGAGGAGCAAUCUUCAGGUAUAAGUAGUCAUGCACAUGAAGUCUCCUGGUUCCUUCCUUGGCUAGUUCUGUUGCUAUUCAGAAAUGUGGUUUUCCUUCAAGUUUCUUGUUGUGAGAUGAUUCCGAUGGAAGAGGCUGUCAGUUUCCAAUCUGUUGAGAUUUUGCAACAUAUACCGGAUGACCCAAGGUUGCUCCUGUGGUCACCAACUAGUGCAGAGAGUUUAGGCAAGAUAGUGGUGCAGGAAAUACCUUGCAAUGGAAUAUUGCAUACUUUUCCCGGCAACGGCAGAGCGGUACAGGGUUAUGAUGGAACCAAGCUCCGACCAAGACCAUGGCCACUAUUCGAGAUCAAUCAGGAGACCAUCCAGUUGAAGCUACAACAAAAAUUAUUCCCAGGUAAUUGCCAAGCAGCACAUGUGGUGUUCGAGCAAUACCUAUGUGGUCGGCUUUAUCUAAAGGUAAUGAGCAUGUCAGUGUGUGAGCAAUUUUUGAAUCACAUCGAAAUUCGAGGGAGUGGCCAUUUCUCUACAAAAUGCAGUUCUCUUUGGGAUCUUCUAUCGAUUUUGAUCGUUCGGCCUAUUUGUUAUUGUGAACAACCCUUCAGUUAUUUGCAAGGCGCACAUCCACAGUUUUGGCGUCCAUUGGAAGGUGCUGCUAUUUCUGUGAUCGAGUAA